UUUUCCCUGGAGUCCGCGUGAUUUGCGCCUCGGCGCUAACCUGACAAGCAUAUGCAAAAGGGCGUCGGUCUCUGCGGCCCGUGUGCAAGCCCGCUUCGGGCGGGAAGCCUGACGGCCGCAUACGGAUGCCCGACCUGGGAAACCAGGUUCUGCACCGCAGGCGCGACACGGUUCUCUGGGGUUCUU
Molecule: non-coding RNA, 186 nt
Filed under: Desulfovibrio sp.
Lineage: Bacteria; Pseudomonadati; Thermodesulfobacteriota; Desulfovibrionia; Desulfovibrionales; Desulfovibrionaceae
Description: 6S RNA
Rfam family: 6S / SsrS RNA
About the family: E. coli 6S RNA was the first non coding RNA to be sequenced, but its function was unknown until recently. It consists of 184 nucleotides that fold into an extended hairpin structure with a large single-stranded internal bulge.
Source: RNAcentral